ACCAUUGUUGUCCAACAAAGCUCCAACCUUUAGUGACCAUUUCUGCUCCAAAUCGCGAAAGGAGGACAUUUUCGGAGUCGUGAAGCGCAUCUCUACGUGUGGGACUUCGAAAUUUUAGGUUUGGGUGGACUUCUUUCUCUCUUGAUUUUCGUGGGUAUGGGAUUUUGGGAGAUAUGAUGGGUAGUUUUGCUAAGUUUCUGCUUC
RNAcentral lists this long non-coding RNA (204 nucleotides) under Glycine max (soybean). RNAcentral describes it as "long non-coding RNA (GMAX_LNC002257)". The record is from RNAcentral. Lineage: Eukaryota; Viridiplantae; Streptophyta; Magnoliopsida; Fabales; Fabaceae.